AGUGGCAGACGGGUGAGUAAUGUAUAGGAAUCUACCUAGUAGUACGGAAUAAUUGUUGGAAACGGCAACUAAUACCGUAUACGCCCUACGGGGGAAAAAUUUAUUGCUAUUAGAUGAGCCUAUAUUAGAUUAGUUAGUUGGUGAGGUAAAGGCUUACCAAGACAAUGACCUAUAGCUGAUCUGAGAGGAUGAUCAGCCACACUGGAACUGAGAUACGGUCCAGACUCCUACGGGAGGCAGCAGUGGGGAAUAUUGGACAAUGGGCGAAAGCCUGAUCCAGCCAUGCCGCAUGAGUGAAGAAGGCCUUCGGGUUGUAAAGCUCUUUUAGUGAGGAAGAUAAUGACGGUACUCACAGAANAAGUCCUGGCUAACUCCGUGCCAGCAGCCGCGGUAAUACNGAGAGGGCUAGCGUUAUUCGGAAUCAUUGGGCGUAAAGGGCGCGUA
This 444-nucleotide ribosomal RNA is filed under the name uncultured Hyphomicrobiales bacterium. RNAcentral's name for it is "bacterial SSU rRNA". It matches the Rfam family "Bacterial small subunit ribosomal RNA", at positions 94 to 573 of the family's 1533-position model. The record is from RNAcentral. Lineage: Bacteria; Pseudomonadati; Pseudomonadota; Alphaproteobacteria; Hyphomicrobiales.